This is a non-coding RNA of Schizosaccharomyces pombe (fission yeast), 600 nucleotides long. The record is from the annotation of a GenBank genome assembly. NCBI's taxonomy places the organism in Eukaryota, Fungi, Ascomycota, Schizosaccharomycetes, Schizosaccharomycetales, Schizosaccharomycetaceae.
UGGUAUAGAGGUGUAUGGUUCAGAGGCUUUUGGGAUUUUUCCAUCGUUGACUUCUAAGUAAUCACUUGGAAGUUGGCGAAACGGCGGUGAGUGAAUAUAAUACGAAAUAAGAGAGUUAUAUGCCGCCUAUAAAGUUAGUAUUAGGGUUCAUAUUGAUGGUGUUUCAAAUAAUAAUAUAUUUCCAAAUAAAUUGAUGCUGAAGACCAAAGUUGUAGUACAGUUCCUUAAUAAUAAAAAGAAGUAAAUUACAGCACUUAAGAACAUGACCCUUGUGUAUCGUGGAGUGUUACGAUACAACAUCGCGGCAAUAUUUACUGCAAGCCAAAUCUCAUAAGCAUGAAGAAAACUUAUAAGUGAACUUUCAAUAAUUUGGAAGUCAUUAUUCGCAAUUACAUACCUGUUGCUCAGCCAAAUUUAGACUGCUGGCUUGACCUUGUCCCAAGAGGUGAUGCCCACUGUAGGCUCCAAUGACAAAAACAGGUUCUCUGCUUUUUCUUCCCGUCUCGGCUAUAAUGCGAUAGACUGGUUCCUUUAAUGAAAGCCUUUUACAUAAACGAGAUAGUUGACGCCGAGGCCAUUGCAAUUGUAACAUUGUUCUUG